Molecule: ribosomal RNA, 498 nt
Filed under: Klebsiella pneumoniae
Lineage: Bacteria; Pseudomonadati; Pseudomonadota; Gammaproteobacteria; Enterobacterales; Enterobacteriaceae
Also listed under: 1 other name
Description: bacterial SSU rRNA
Rfam family: Bacterial small subunit ribosomal RNA
Source: RNAcentral
GCUCAACCUGGGAACUGCAUUCGAAACUGGCAGGCUAGAGUCUUGUAGAGGGGGGUAGAAUUCCAGGUGUAGCGGUGAAAUGCGUAGAGAUCUGGAGGAAUACCGGUGGCGAAGGCGGCCCCCUGGACAAAGACUGACGCUCAGGUGCGAAAGCGUGGGGAGCAAACAGGAUUAGAUACCCUGGUAGUCCACGCCGUAAACGAUGUCGAUUUGGAGGUUGUGCCCUUGAGGCGUGGCUUCCGGAGCUAACGCGUUAAAUCGACCGCCUGGGGAGUACGGCCGCAAGGUUAAAACUCAAAUGAAUUGACGGGGGCCCGCACAAGCGGUGGAGCAUGUGGUUUAAUUCGAUGCAACGCGAAGAACCUUACCUGGUCUUGACAUCCACAGAACUUUCCAGAGAUGGAUUGGUGCCUUCGGGAACUGUGAGACAGGUGCUGCAUGGCUGUCGUCAGCUCGUGUUGUGAAAUGUUGGGUUAAGUCCCGCAACGAGCGCAACCC